Molecule: transfer RNA, 73 nt
Filed under: Stegodyphus mimosarum
Lineage: Eukaryota; Metazoa; Arthropoda; Arachnida; Araneae; Eresidae
Rfam family: tRNA
About the family: Transfer RNA (tRNA) molecules are approximately 80 nucleotides in length. Their secondary structure includes four short double-helical elements and three loops (D, anti-codon, and T loops).
Source: Rfam by way of RNAcentral
GCCUUCGUGGUGUAGUGGUCAGCACGCUCAACGCUUAUUCGAGAGGAUCGUGGUUCAAAUCCCGUCGACGACA